UCCCUUGUGGCUCAGCUGGUAAAGAAUCCACCUGCAAUGUGGGAGACCUGGGUUCGAUCCCUGGCUUGGGAA
This 72-nucleotide transfer RNA is filed under the name Ovis aries (sheep). It matches the Rfam family "tRNA". Rfam says of the family: Transfer RNA (tRNA) molecules are approximately 80 nucleotides in length. Lineage: Eukaryota; Metazoa; Chordata; Mammalia; Artiodactyla; Bovidae. The record is from Rfam by way of RNAcentral. RNAcentral also lists the same sequence under 3 other names.